This 69-nucleotide transfer RNA is filed under the name Nuttallia olivacea. Its description in RNAcentral is "tRNA-Ile". It matches the Rfam family "tRNA". Rfam says of the family: Transfer RNA (tRNA) molecules are approximately 80 nucleotides in length. Their secondary structure includes four short double-helical elements and three loops (D, anti-codon, and T loops). The record is from RNAcentral. Lineage: Eukaryota; Metazoa; Mollusca; Bivalvia; Cardiida; Psammobiidae.
GGCGUUAUGCCGGAUAAACGGGCUACUUUGAUGUUGUAGAAAAUUUAGGUGUAAAUCCUUCUGGCGCUU